Molecule: long non-coding RNA, 1137 nt
Filed under: Bos indicus x Bos taurus (hybrid cattle)
Lineage: Eukaryota; Metazoa; Chordata; Mammalia; Artiodactyla; Bovidae
Description: lncRNA (ENSBIXG00005010893.1)
Source: RNAcentral
AGCAGUAGCAUCACAUAUGCUUGGGGAGACUGAGUAGAACAUCUCCUGUGACGUGCCUCACCCCAUCUUUCCACCCAAAAUUGAAGACAAUCUGAUAUGCUGAUGAUGGCUACACGUAGAGUGCCUGGAUUCAUCUGCAUUGAAACUCCUUGAGAAUUUUGAUAGGUUGAGCCAAAACAGAAUAAUGAAAUGAACCCUUCUAGGCAGGAAGGCAGAAACAGACAUAAAAGAUGAUUUCUCUGUGUUAUCUGGCCUUUAUGGAAAGAACCAUGAUGAGCUUCCAGAAAAUGCAUUAUUGAUGUGAUGUAAUAAGGCAGGGGUUUUAACAUCUUCAUCCUGGAAAAUUGGAGUCCUUCCCAUGGAAUGUGUGUGUUGAGCUUAGCAGAGACAGCCCUUUCCACUCUGGAGGUAAGACUGGGAAAAUUUGAGUCCAGAGCCCUCUGCUGCCUCUGGGCCCACUGCCUGUCCAAACACACCUGCAGGAGGAGAGAAGGACCUUGUUACAAACAAGAGAAGAGGAGAUCAAAGCAGCUGCAUCAUCUCAUUAACCUUCACCCCCAGAGAAGAUGGCAAGGAAAACUUAGAAACAAACAAAAUCAAGCCACUCUUCCUGCCUUCAGUGGAGCUUCAAACCAGAGGAUGUUACCUGGAACACACUGGAGAGUCAUAACCUUGGAGUUCACAUUAAAGACGUCAGUCCCAGGAAACUCCUACUCACCCAGCUUGAAUUCACCAGGGGAAGGCUGAAUGAGGACACAGUGAGAAGAUGGCAAGAUGGUCUCACCACAACCCAAUCCAACAGCACCUUGAUCUUGGAUACACAGCCCCCAGAACUUCAGGACAAUAGAUGGAUUUCUGUUGUUUAAGCCACCCAGUCUGUAGUCAUUUGUGAUGACAGCCUUAGCCAACUCAUAUAAACCAUAGAGGCCCAAACAGGUCCACUCAACGACUGAGAGAAAUUGCAAUGCAGUAAAACUCCCCAUAAGCUUCUUCAGAGUAAGACAUUUCUGGGACACCUUUUGCCCCAAAGAUUAUUCCUCACUCACUGACCUCUGGGUUUCAAGGAGAAGCUCCCUUCCUGCUGAUUUUAAGCAUCCCAUAGUAUGACAAUCAUCGACAGGAAAGAUAUUGUCUAAU